AAAAUAAAGGCAAACCGGAGGAGCAACAAUGAAAAAUCCAAGACUCUGCAGGAGUUCCUAGAGAGGAUUCAUCUGCAGGAAUAUACCUCAACACUUUUGCUCAAUGGUUAUGAGACUCUAGAAGAUUUAAAGGAUAUAAAAGAGAGUCACCUCAUUGAAUUAAAUAUUGAAAACCCAGACGACAGAAGAAGGUUACUAUCAGCUGCUGAAAACUUCCUUGAAGAAGAAACACACAUCUAGGUAUUUUGCCCAAUUUGCAGAUGAGGCAAAAAUUUGGAAAUGAAUUUCAAAGAAGUCAAACAGCUAGAUGAGUGCAGAGAUGGAGAUUUAAUCAAAGGGAGUCUGCUAUAAAACUUCUCCAUAUGUGCAAAUUGGCCAAUAUGAAAGCAAUUAAUAUUUGAAAAUUGAAGUUUUCUGCUACUUCACCAAUUUUCUCAAGGGUUUUAGUUCAGUUUUCUAUAUCAGAAGGUGAAAGGCGAGAGGCUACCAUUGCUGCCUGUCAACAAGGUUUGUGGAGAGAAGGGGCUCAGAACCUGGGCAAGCAGCACUUUCAGCAAUAAACAGUAUCCCCAGGGGCCCACAGAGGGAAGAUGGGUUCAGUGCCAAAGGCUUGCGUCCCCUUAAUUUUUUCAUUCCACUUCACUCAUCACCUGUCUCCUUUCUAUGCUAACAAAAGAACAAUUAUUCACAGAUGGUAAAAUUAUUUAUAGAGCCUGUGUAAUUAAAAAGAAAAAAAGAAAAGAAACACCUGACGCAAAAUUCUUCCAUUGCAAGACGAGAAGAUGAAAAUCCAAGUAGCUAAGUGGCUUUCUCAAGCUCAUAAAUCUAUAAUUCAGUCUCUUACAUCUAUCAGAAACAUGUUCUGCCAUAUCCUGGUCUCUGAAAACAAAACAUAGUGUCUCCAAAGCAUUAAAUGGUUUUUGAUAUUUGA
Molecule: small RNA, 931 nt
Filed under: Pongo abelii (Sumatran orangutan)
Lineage: Eukaryota; Metazoa; Chordata; Mammalia; Primates; Hominidae
Description: processed transcript
Source: RNAcentral